CUUGAGUCUUGUAGAGGGGGGUAGAAUUCCAGGUGUAGCGGUGAAAUGCGUAGAGAUCUGGAGGAAUACCGGUGGCGAAGGCGGCCCCCUGGACAAAGACUGACGCUCAGGUGCGAAAGCGUGGGGAGCAAACAGGAUUAGAUACCCUGGUAGUCCACGCCGUAAACGAUGUCUACUUGGAGGUUGUGCCCUUGAGGCGUGGCUUCCGGAGCUAACGCGUUAAGUAGACCGCCUGGGGAGUACGGCCGCAAGGUUAAAACUCAAAUGAAUUGACGGGGGCCCGCACAAGCGGUGGAGCAUGUGGUUUAAUUCGAUGCAACGCGAAGAACC
RNAcentral lists this ribosomal RNA (330 nucleotides) under Salmonella enterica subsp. enterica serovar Muenchen. RNAcentral's name for it is "bacterial SSU rRNA". It matches the Rfam family "Bacterial small subunit ribosomal RNA", at positions 641 to 970 of the family's 1533-position model. Lineage: Bacteria; Pseudomonadati; Pseudomonadota; Gammaproteobacteria; Enterobacterales; Enterobacteriaceae. The record is from RNAcentral. RNAcentral also lists the same sequence under 2 other names.